This is an RNA transcript of Hydractinia symbiolongicarpus, 3641 nucleotides long. It is a transcript of the gene named AP-1 complex subunit sigma-2-like, with no coding region annotated. Lineage: Eukaryota; Metazoa; Cnidaria; Hydrozoa; Anthoathecata; Hydractiniidae. The transcript has 2 exons. The record is from RefSeq and is a predicted model, not a curated record.
AAUAAUUUAGCAGAGGAUAGAUAAAAAUUCUUUGACUUCGAUCACGUCUUCAAUUUGCUGUAUAUGGUUAUGAAAAGACGGUGUAAAUGAUGCUUCAUGUGUAUGUGGGAUGUCACGGUAUUGUAGAAAUGCUUGCGCCGUCACUUUGUUGCUGGAAAGAAAACUUUCCUAUUUUAAAAUUCUGUUUUGACUGCCGGAAAAUGUUAACUACCAAGUCAUUGCGUCAAUUUAAACGCCCUAAAAAACGAUUGGUAGACCAAGAUAAAUUAUAAAAAGAAAACUAAGAAGUAUUAGUCCCACGUAAAUUUUUUCUAUUUUUUUUAUUCAUGCAUUUAUUUUUACUGUUCUGUUUUACCGCAGGAAUUAUCACUUUUUUUGUCGUGUACGUUCUAAGUAAAAGAUUCUUCUUUAGAUGGGCGUAAAUUUUCAAAACAAGUAAAAUAGAAAAUAUGUAGGAUAGUAUGUUUAACAUGUUCACGUAAAAUUUAUUUUCAGAUCUAAAAAAAUGAUGAUUUAACUUGGAAAUUGGAAAUAAGCAGAGAAAAUGAAGAAUGUAGCCAAUUUUCUAACUUCACUUAACACAUCCAUCGAAGCGAUAGACACAACAAAUGCAUCUACUGAAUGGGUGAAACUAUCCACUUCAUCCCCGGCCACAUCGACUUUGCCGCCAAACGUUCCGCAAAAUACUGGUUAUACAACGAUAGAACUUACUCUAAUUGUCUUAUUCUCAUUGAUUUUUGUGGUUGGUACAGCGGGAAAUGGUUUAAUAUUUCACUACUUUGGCAUCAAAAAACGAAGAAAUCGUUCAGUACCAGAAUUUCUAUUCAGUUGUUUAUCUAUGGUUGACUUCGGUGCUUCCAUUUUAAACCCAACUCUUUAUAUGUAUUGGAUGUUUACAAACUUUCAUUGGCAUAUGGGAUAUUGGGCGUGUAAGUUUCUGUUGCCAUUAGGUCCUAUCGCGACAACGUCAUCGGGUGGAAUUUUUAUCAUUAUAGCGUUUGACCGACAACGAACUAUUGUCCAUCCUUUUAAAGAUCAUUUUAAAACUCUGCAUAUUAAGAUAUGCAUGUUGGGAGUAUUGUUCUAUUCUGCAUUAUUGAACUUCCAUUAUGGAUUUAGUCUUUCUAUUAAUAAGAACCAUCAGUGCUUGGUGGACAACGUAAGAGCCGCCUCAUACAGCGUACCAACCAUCAUUUCUUUUCUCAUACAAGAUAUUACUUUGAUCUUUGUAUUUGCGUUUACUAACUGGCGCAUUUUCUCACAUCUAAACGCGGAGGAAAGUGUUCUUGGAGAACACUGGAAGAAACGAAAACGAGACAACGCUAAAGUAAUUCGUCUUCUAGUUGUCUUAGCAACAGUAUUUUUUGUAUUAACACUACCGAGAGACAUGUUUCAUUUAAUUCAUAUCAUUUCUUGGUUUGAUGGAAAUGGUAUCAAAGUAACUCCACUGACUUUGAAAAUUAACUCUUCUCUCAAAGCGCUUCACACCGCGAACUCGUGUGCAAACGUAUUUAUAUACUACAGAAUGCACAGUGGUUUCCGACAUUAUAUCAACCAGUGUUUCUGUUUUUGGGCAAGUUUUGCAAAAAACCGCGAUUUAUCAAUUUCUACGGUAACCGAGUCAUUUAUUAGAAGACUUCCUUCCUCGAGACGACAUCGCAGUUAUACAACAUCAACUGAUGUUGAGUUUGAACAACAUGACAGACUAUCUGAAGGUCGCAGGAGGGCUAAUACUGCAAACGCAAAGUUAUUAAGCGAUUUUGUUGUAGAUUUGUAAGAGACGGUGUAUAGUUUAGCUAAGUCUUGCGUUUUUAUUUUAUUCUAAUUUUUUAUUUGCAAAUUAUUUUGAGUUUCAGAAACACUAAUUGCUCCUUUUGCUUUGAUUUUUUUCACCUGACGUGAUGUUUAACAAUGGUAUAUAUAUAGUCCGAAUAGUUGUGUUUAGGCGAAAUAUAAUGAAAAUUUAUGAUUACGAAUACGUCGAAAAAAAAGCUAUUCCUUCUUUCUAUUCAAUAUUAUACCUUACCGCUUCAAAUAACGCAUCCUCGUCCCCAGGGUCUUGUGGCCCCUGAGCCGUUAUUUCGGAGUGGCCAACAACAAGGCAAAAUGCGCUGGGAACGAGGUUGCAAAUAACGGCAUUUUUAAUCUCUGGCGGGGAUAGAUAAAUUAUUUUUCCUGUGUACAAAUCAAUGCUAUUUAAUCUGUUAAUUGUAUGCGAAUGUAACAUUCUGUGUACGCCAUGCAAUGCUGCUUAUUAAAACCAUUCACUGAUUUUAUGAAAAGGAUGGUUUAGGAAAACACUGCUUUUAAAAAAACUUGAUGUUAAUUUAUAGGGGUGCAGUACAGUUGCUUUAUUAUUAGGUACAACUGCACAGAGGAAGAUGUUAAAAUACAAUAAAAACAUAGAAGUGAUGCACAAUACAAAAUAAAUUCCAAAUCCUCUGCGAUGUCCCCAAAUUGCUUCAACGGAGAUUUACUUUUCUGUUUUAAAUCAUAGGAUUAGCACAUCAAUUUGAAAGUAUUUGCAGAUAACUACUGACUUCUUUAUAUUUUAACGAAAAAUUAGUGGGUGGGUGGGGCAAGUAUACUUCCGACCCUUUGGCGUCACCUUUCCUAGAAAGUGGUGUGUACUGUGACCCUGGCUUAUAAAAAUGAAGCGCAAGAUAAGCUAUAUUUAACUAUGUUGCAUAUUUCCCGAAAAGUCUGCGUACUAAGAAGCAUUCAAAAAAAUUUUUUUUGGUGCAUGUACAGUAAAAAUUAAACUUAUAUUUCUCCUUACAAAAAUUUGUCAACCCCUGUGAUGAGGGCACGUAGACGUAGUAAUAUUUAUUUAUUUAUUAUACUUAGGUAAUCAAAAGAAUACUCGACAGAGACAUGAAUAUAGGUGCAAAUAACACUGUAAAUAGUGUAUACUUAAGAAAUAAUGUGUAAAUAAAAAUAAAUAUCAUAAAUAAAAAUAUCUACUAUUAUAUAUAUAUCUAACGACAUAAUAAAGUAAAAUUUAAAGAAACAUACUAGUUGUUAUGCUUGUUUUUCGUUGAUCUUGAUGUUAUCGUCGAUAACAACCUAUCGCUGAUACACUCAACGCCGUUAGCUCCUGUUUUUCUAUUUGUUUUAAAUUUUACGUCAAAGUAUAAAAGAAGCUGGUACCUAGAUUGUCGAUUAUUUUUCACAUAGGAUAACUUUUUGCAGCCUCGUCCCAGAGGUUCUUGCCUUUUUAAACUCGAGGUCAGCGAAAGCGCUAGCGGCUUUGACAUUAGACACUUUUGAUACCCUGGGGAUGAGGACGAACUUUUUGCGCUUGUAUUUUACAACUUUCAAGUUAAUACAUCUAUUUCGAAGUAAAUAAAACGAGUCCCAGAGUGCACUUUUUUAUAUAAGAACGUCUAAAUUUUCAGUUGGAUCUGCUCAUUUUUUUAUACUUAUAUGGUACUUGUUUCAUAACAUCCACAUAAAAAUGUUUUAUGUGUAUUCACCUCAAGAACCAACGCUAAACUUCAACAAAUAAGACGAGGAACUUUUGCAGUAAACAAUAAAAGCUAUGGCGCAGUUAAAAAAUUUUGGGAUGCCGGUGCGCUGUUUUGAGAAGAAGGAGGAGAAAACGAUUUUUACUUGAGAAAUUGUAAAGACAAAGAAAAAUG